UCUCCUGGAAACGGGUGGUAAUGCCGGAUGCUCCAUCACACCGCAUGGUGUGUUGGGAAAGCCUUUGCGGCAUGGGAUGGGGUCGCGUCCUAUCAGCUUGAUGGCGGGGUAACGGCCCACCAUGGCUUCGACGGGUAGCCGGCCUGAGAGGGCGACCGGCCACAUUGGGACUGAGAUACGGCCCAGACUCCUACGGGAGGCAGCAGUGGGGAAUAUUGCACAAUGGGCGCAAGCCUGAUGCAGCGACGCCGCGUGAGGGAUGGAGGCCUUCGGGUUGUAAACCUCUUUUGUUAGGGAGCAAGGCAUUUUGUGUUGAGUGUACCUUUCGAAUAAGCACCGGCUAACUACGUGCCAGCAGCCGCGGUAAUACGUAGGGUGCAAGCGUUAUCCGGAAUUAUUGGGCGUAAAGGGCUCGUAGGCGGUUCGUCGCGUCCGGUGUGAAAGUCCAUCGCUUAACGGUGGAUCCGCGCCGGGUACGGGCGGGCUUGAGUGCGGUAGGGGAGACUGGAAUUCCCGGUGUAACGGUGGAAUGUGUAGAUAUCGGGAAGAACACCA
Molecule: ribosomal RNA, 555 nt
Filed under: Bifidobacterium breve
Lineage: Bacteria; Bacillati; Actinomycetota; Actinomycetes; Bifidobacteriales; Bifidobacteriaceae
Description: bacterial SSU rRNA
Rfam family: Bacterial small subunit ribosomal RNA
Source: RNAcentral